RNAcentral lists this ribosomal RNA (681 nucleotides) under Triticum aestivum (bread wheat). Its description in RNAcentral is "partial small subunit ribosomal RNA". Lineage: Eukaryota; Viridiplantae; Streptophyta; Magnoliopsida; Poales; Poaceae. The record is from RNAcentral.
AUGGAGAAGGAGAUAAAUAUCGGCGGCGCCGACGGGGUGGAGGUGAGGAAGGAGGCGGGGGAGGAGGAGGAGAUAAAUCUGGGCGUCGCCGGCGGGGUGUUGGUGAAGAAGGAGGCAGGGGAGGAGGAGGAGAUCGAGUUCGACCCGACGGACGACGAGCUGGUGCUGCACUUCCUGCGGCCGCAGCUGCGCGGGUUCGCGCCGCGCGUGGCGGGCGCGGUGGUGGAGGCGGAGCCGUGCGCGGCGACCCCCUGGGAGCUUCUUGCGCGGCACGGCCUGCUGCGGCGCGGGCACGGCUACUUCUUCGCGGCGCGGCGGCGCGGGAAGGGCACCCAGGCGCGGCGCACCCCGGAUGGCGGCGGCGGCUCGUGGAUGCACAGCGGGAACAAGGAGCACCGCCGGUCCGUGACGGAGCUAGGCGUGGUCGCGCGCUGGUCCAUGACGCUGUACUGCUUCUACGCCCGCGGCGGCGUGAAAGGGGAGGGCGGGGCGCAGCAGGGGCGGCGGAGCACCGGGUGGGCCAUGUCCGAGUACGAGAUCACGGACCCGCGGUGCUACCGCCGGGCCGACGACGGCGAGGAGGACCACUACUGGGUGCUCUGCCACGUCCGCCGGAGCACCAGGAAGAACGUCAAGCCGCGGUCCUGGGAGUGCUGGAAGUCGUGGGAUCUCCAACGUUAA